CAGGAUAUGGCCGAGUAGUUAGGCAUCUCUUUUACACGGAGAAUACACCCAUGCAAGUUGGGUUGUCCUGA
RNAcentral lists this transfer RNA (71 nucleotides) under Oreichthys cosuatis. RNAcentral describes it as "tRNA-Val". It matches the Rfam family "tRNA". From Rfam's summary of the family: Transfer RNA (tRNA) molecules are approximately 80 nucleotides in length. Their secondary structure includes four short double-helical elements and three loops (D, anti-codon, and T loops). The record is from RNAcentral. Lineage: Eukaryota; Metazoa; Chordata; Actinopteri; Cypriniformes; Cyprinidae.